Molecule: ribosomal RNA, 467 nt
Filed under: uncultured bacterium
Lineage: Bacteria
Description: partial 16S ribosomal RNA
Rfam family: Bacterial small subunit ribosomal RNA
Source: RNAcentral
ACGAACGCUGGCGGCGUGCUUAACACCUGCAAGUCGAACGGAAAGGCCCUGCUUUUGUGGGGUGCUCGAGUGGCGAACGGGUGAGUAACACGUGAGUAACCUGCCCUUGACUUUGGGAUAACUUCAGGAAACUGGGGCUAAUACCGGAUAGGAGCUCCUGCUGCAUGGUGGGGGUUGGAAAGUUUCGGCGGUUGGGGAUGGACUCGCGGCUUAUCAGCUUGUUGGUGGGGUAGUGGCUUACCAAGGCUUUGACGGGUAGCCGGCCUGAGAGGGUGACCGGCCACAUUGGGACUGAGAUACGGCCCAGACUCCUACGGGAGGCAGCAGUGGGGAAUAUUGCACAAUGGGCGGAAGCCUGAUGCAGCAACGCCGCGUGCGGGAUGACGGCCUUCGGGUUGUAAACCGCUUUCGCCUGUGGCGAAGCGUGAGUGACGGUAAUGGGUAAAGAAGCACCGGCUAACUACGUG